AUGAGCCAUUGCACCCAACCACCUUCUGGGCUUUUCACGGCGCUGUUCCUCCUCAGCAAGGGGAUGCUGCUGCUGAUGGAGCGAAAGCUGCAGGAGGUGCACCCGCUGCUGACCCUCUGCGGGCAGAUCGUGGAGAACUGGCAGGGGAACCCCAUCCAGAAGGAGUCGCUGCGUGUCUUCUUCCUGGUGCUCCAGGUCACCCACUAUCUGGAUGCCGGGCAGGUGAAGAGCGUGAAGCCGUGUCUGAAGCAGCUGCAGCAGUGCAUCCAGACCAUCUCCACGCUGCACGAUGAUGAGAUCCUGCCCAGCAACCCCGCUGACCUCUUCCACUGGCUGCCCAAGGAGCACAUGUGUGUGCUUGUCUACCUGGUGACUGUGAUGCACUCCAUGCAGGCCGGCUACCUGGAGAAGGCGCAGAAGUACACGGACAAGGCCCUCAUGCAGCUGGAGAAGCUCAAGAUGCUGGACUGCAGCCCCAUCCUGUCAUCCUUCCAAGUGAUCCUGCUGGAGCACAUCAUCAUGUGCCGCCUCGUCACGGGUCACAAGGCCACGGCGCUGCAGGAGAUCU
Molecule: small RNA, 568 nt
Filed under: Pan troglodytes (chimpanzee)
Lineage: Eukaryota; Metazoa; Chordata; Mammalia; Primates; Hominidae
Description: processed transcript
Source: RNAcentral